GAUGAACGCUGGCGGCGUGCCUAAUACAUGCAAGUCGAGCGGCAGCGCGGAAAGUUUACUUUCUGGCGGCGAGCGGCGGACGGCUGAGUAACGCGUAGGAACGUACCCCAAAGUGAGGGAUAACUGCUCGAAAGAGUAGCUAAUACCGCAUGUGAUCUAAGGAUUAAAGCUUCGGCGCUUUGGGAGCAGCCUGCGUAAGAUUAGCUUGUUGGUGAGGUAAUGGCUCACCAAGGCGACGAUCUUUAGCUGGUCUGAGAGGAUGAUCAGCCAGACUGGGACUGAGAACGGCCCAGACUCCUACGGGAGGCAGCAGCAGGGAAUAUUGGACAAUGGGCGAAAGCCUGAUCCAGCCAUGCCGCGUGUGUGAAGAAGGUCUUCGGAUUGUAAAGCACUUUAAGUUGGGAGGAAGGUCUGUAAGCUAAUAUCUUGCAGUCUUGACGUUACCAACAGAAUAAGCACCGGCUAACUCUGUGCCAGCCGCCGCCGUAA
Molecule: ribosomal RNA, 489 nt
Filed under: uncultured bacterium
Lineage: Bacteria
Description: partial 16S ribosomal RNA
Rfam family: Bacterial small subunit ribosomal RNA
Source: RNAcentral